This 443-nucleotide ribosomal RNA is filed under the name uncultured bacterium. RNAcentral's name for it is "bacterial SSU rRNA". It matches the Rfam family "Bacterial small subunit ribosomal RNA", at positions 29 to 507 of the family's 1533-position model. The record is from RNAcentral.
AACGAACGCUGGCGGCAUGCCUAACACAUGCAAGUCGAACGGGAUCCUGGCUUCGGUCAGGUGAGAGUGGCGGACGGGUGAGUAACGCGUGGGAACCUGCCCAGUGGUGGGGGAUAACUGCGGGAAACUGCAGCUAAUACCGCAUGAGCCCGAGAGGGGAAAGAUUUAUCGCCAUUGGAGGGGCCCGCGUUCGAUUAGGUAGUUGGUGGGGUAAAGGCCUACCAAGCCGACGAUCGAUAGCUGGUCUGAGAGGAUGAUCAGUCACACUGGAACUGAGACACGGUCCAGACUCCUACGGGAGGCAGCAGUGGGGAAUAUUGCACAAUGGACGAAAGUCUGAUGCAGCAACGCCGCGUGGAGGAUGACACAUUUCGGUGCGUAAACUCCUUUUAUAUGAGAAGAUAAUGACGGUAUUAUAUGAAUAAGCACCGGCUAACUCCGUG